Molecule: ribosomal RNA, 404 nt
Filed under: uncultured bacterium
Lineage: Bacteria
Description: bacterial SSU rRNA
Rfam family: Bacterial small subunit ribosomal RNA
Source: RNAcentral
AGAUUUUGACAUCCUACGAAUCUCAUGGAAGUAUGGGAGUGCCUUUUAGGAACGUAGAGACAGGUGGUGCAUGGCUGUCGACAGCUCGUGUCGUGAGAUGUUGGGUUAAGUCCCGCAACGAGCGCAACCCUUACUGUUAGUUACCAUCAUUAAGUUGGGGACUCUAACAGGACUGCCUGCGAAGAGCAGGAGGAAGGUGGGGAUGACGUCAAGUCAUCAUGCCCCUUAUGAUCUGGGCUACACACGUGCUACAAUGGGCAGUACAAAGAGGAGCGAGAUGGUGACAUGGAGCGAAUCUUAAAAGCUGCUCUCAGUUCGGAUUGAAGUCUGCAACUCGACUUCAUGAAGUUGGAAUCGCUAGUAAUCGCAAAUCAGCAAUAUUGCGGUGAAUACGUUCUCGGGUC